Molecule: long non-coding RNA, 3911 nt
Organism: Eriocheir sinensis (Chinese mitten crab)
Lineage: Eukaryota; Metazoa; Arthropoda; Malacostraca; Decapoda; Varunidae
Exons: 2
Source: RefSeq, a predicted model, not a curated record
AGUCUCCCUUCAUGUGUCCUGUACCUUGCUGUCCCCUUUCUCAUCACCCCUUGCCUCACACCUCACUCCAUUACGCUCCGCUCCACACCCCCCCUCGCGCCCCCCUCACAGAUGCUUCCAUGGCGCCGGUUAUGUUUAUUUAAUCCGUAGCUUCUUAUUUUGUGUACGUUUCCGCUUUUUGUGUCCUGUCUGUCCUGUAGUCGCGCUUUUGUCGUAGAAUUAAUCUCUGGUUGUCGUUGAUUCUUGUCCUGUCUCUGUUUUUGUACUGUUGAUGCAUAGUUUCUGACGUAACUUGUGGUAGUUGUAACACUGCCUUGCUCAGUGGUGGCCUCAUGUAGUGGUAUGGACUAAUGUAUAUGAUGUACAGCCUGCCGCUAUCCAUUACCAGCCCAUUACUCAACCAUUGACUCACCUCACAUACUAAUACAAGUAGUUCCAUUUGUCUCCAGCACUCAUAUGACCCACUGGUAUAUAGAAAAAACUCCCACUCAUAAAUAGUUCCUUAGUCUCUGUAUGGGAUGGACAUAAGGAGCCAAAACUAGACCAGGGCAAGUUGAAGAGAUGCUCAGUGUAAUUCUUUCCCCUUUGGAUUGGAAUGUGCUGACCAGAUGAUGCAUUAUGGAAGAUGUGUUUUUUAUCAUUAUGGAAAGAGAGAGAAAUAUAUAGCUAAAGGGAAGUAUAGCUUUAUUUUCUAGAUUCUUAUUCUUAUUCGUAUUGUUACCGAGAGUUUUGAGGUUUAUACAAAAGAGCAAAUUCAAGCAAAAGGGGAGUAUUACAUGUUAUAAGACAGUCCUGCUUGUCCAUCCCAUCUGUUACACGAGGUAAACAAACACGCUCAGGACUAACACACAAUAAACGCCACGCACUGUAUAUACGACACAAUGGUUUGCCACACCACACGAACUUUAAGCACAUUAUUUUGACCACCAGAGGGCUAAAGACGACCUGAUGUUUAUUAGCCUUCACACCCUCACGCCCAUCCACCCCCACCUCUCCCUGUGUGUGUGUGUGUGUGUGUGUGUUAAUGGGGUAUAUAAUUUUUCUGUGUGUUUGUGUUUAUCUUGUUUUAACUUUAUUUCCUCCUUCUUUAUUUAGUUAUUUCACUCUUAAUGGGAAUGGUGGCUUUUGAAAGUGUAUUAAAUUUACCUUCAUGUUGUUUUAUUUUGUGGUUUUUAUUUAUGUUUUGGUUCACUAAAAAGACAAUAUCAAACUAGUGACUAAUAUUGAAGAAAAAGUAUAUUGUUCAUGUGGAAAGUUAGUGAUAGAUUAUGUACAUUGAGGGAAGGUUUAUCAGAGUCUCCCUCAUCAUCUUACUCAGUUUAGUAUUUCUGGGAAGCAAUUACUAUUUCAUUUUUCAUAUAUAUACAGGUCCUUGAUAUGCGGAGGUUUUCUGUACAUGGAUAGAACCUAACUUAACACGUCAUAAGUAGUUUAUUAAAUAUAGGGUUCCCUGCAUUUCAUAUUUUUUAGAGUUUGUGGUACAGAAGCCUUGUCAAACUCCCACCGUGGUCAAAAACUACCACAGGAUUGAAAGAGAAGUAUAUAGCAUAAAUUAAGUGCAGGGAACCCUAUAUUUAACCCGGUAGCUGCGGGGAUCAUGUUUCUUAAAUGUCCCUCUAAGCGAGAAAAAUGAGAAAAAAAUCAUCACUCACGCAAACCAUUUUAGAAUAUAUAUCAACGCAUUUGUGAUCAGUUUAUGCAUCAUCUAUUUUUUGGGGUUUAUAUCAUGGCAAAAAUUUGGCCUGUUGCUGGUACACGGUAAAGCCACAACUCAACUCCUAUGCGAGCCAUGUCAAAUGUGUGUCAAAUAAUAUAGCCCUCGGUCACUUCACUAUAGAUCUCUUUCAAUAUGGUAUAAGAUAGUAUGGUUCUGUUAUAGUUCAAAAUGAUUCUCUUCAGUAUUCCCUAAGCCAUCAUAACCUCAUCAUUAGUUUGUUAAAUAUAGGGUUCCCUGCACUUAAUCUUUGCUAUAUACUUCUCGUUCAAUAUAGUUUAACCGUGUAGCAGCGACGGGACAAAUCCGUGCCAUGAUAUAAACCCCCCAAAAUAGAUGAUGCAUAAACUGAUCACAAAUGCAUUUAUAUAUAUAUUAUAAAAUGGUUUGCGUGAGUGAUUUUUUUCUCAUUUUUCUCGCUUAGAGGGACCUUUAAUAAACAUGAUCCCCGCAGCUACCGGGUUAAAUAUAGGGUUCCCUGCACUUAAUCUAUGCUAUAUACUUCUCAUUCUAUAUAGUUUAAAAUAGAUUAGUUCUCUUAUAGUUCAAAAUACUUCUCUUCACUAUACCCUAAGCCGCACUGACACCCCCCAUCAACACCACUACACCCACACUUGUAUAUAUAUCCUACACCCAAAUGACUAUGCUGUGAUAUAUUAAUUGAUCCCAUAAUUAAGCCCACCCUGUUAUGCUUCUUUAUGAGGCUUAACCUUGAUUGUAUAGAGGUAAUUGGUCCCUUAAUUCCACCCCAUUAUGCCCUUGGAAGUCAUUCAACCUACUUAUUGUAUAGUUAAUUGGUCCUUUAAUUGAUUGUGCCCCAUUUUGCUCUCUUGUCUGAGGCGUAAGUUUAAUUGUACGGGGUUGAUUUUUCCCUUAAUUCCACCCCUUCGCUCUCAGAAGUAAUUUUGAACGUAUCUGUGAGGCUUGAUUUUAAUUGUAUAGUUAAUUGGUCCUUUGAUUCUGCUCUAUUUUACUCCCUUACUUAUGAGGCUUAACCUGAAUUGUAUAGAGGUAAUUGGUUCCUUAAUUAUACCCCCUCCCUCUCAGAAGUCAUUUUUAACAUAUCUGUGAGGCUUGAUUUUAAAUAUAUAGUUAAUUGGUCCUUUGAUUCUGCCCCAUUUUACUCCCUUACUUAUGAGGCUUAACCUUAAUUGUAUAGAGGUAAUUGGUUCCUUAAUUACACCCCCUCCCUCUCACAAGUCAUUUUUAACCCCCUUAUGAGGCUUGAUUUUAAUUAUAUCAAGUUAAUCGGUCUCUAAUUCCACCCCAUCCCUCUAAGAAGUCAUUUAAUCUACGUACGAGGCUUGAGUUUAAUUAUGUCAAGUUAAUAUGUCCUUUUUUCCACCCUAAUAUCCUCCCAGAAAUUAUUAAACAUACUUACAAGCCUUAGUUUUAAUUGUAUAAACUUGGAUAAUCCCUAAUUCCACCCUAUUGUGCUCCAAGAGUAAUUAAAACCUACUUAUCCGAUGCUUAACUUCACAUGUAUAAAGUAAUGGAAGGUAUUGGAUCAUGUCAUUGAAUCCUAAUUGUGUCUUGAAUGUAUUACUCACAUUAUACUUAUCCUCCUUAUUCUUAUUAUUAUGUAUUUUUAGCUAUUGUGUCUAUGUUAAUGUUUUUGUUUAUGGCAUUCAGUUUUAUAUAUAUGGUUUUGUUCUUUAGUAUUCUUUGCAAUCAUUGUGUCUUGGUAUCUGCCCCUUAAUGGAACAAUGCCUCAGUUUUGCAAGUUCCUAGAGAAUCAAUAUUGACUUGAUUUUGAUGCAUAUUUACAAAGAUUUAUGAUGAUGCUUCUAUGUUUAUGAAUUUUUAGGUUAGUUUAUUUUCACAUUAUUUUUAGAUUUGCGAGUUUUGGAGGUUAGUCUGUUGCACUCCUGAUGGGUUUAGAUAUUAUGAGUUUAGUUUAUUACCAGAGAGAGUAGAAUAUUAUGAAAUUUAUGGUUUUCUAUAAAUUUGUUUUGAGCAUUUGUGUUCUUCCUUGCAAAUCAACAAAUGAACUCACUCUGGGUGGUAAAAAGAGUUUAUUGAAUUACUAAAGAAUAGAAGAAUUUUACCAAAGAAUAGAAGAAUUACCAAAGAAUAGAAGAAUUACCAAAGAAUAGAAGAAUUACCAAAGAAUAGAAGAAUUACCAAAGAAUAGAAGAAUCACCAAAAAAUAGAAUUGCCAAAAAGUAGAAGAAUUACUAAAGAAUAGAAGAAUUAC